Molecule: ribosomal RNA, 253 nt
Filed under: uncultured bacterium
Lineage: Bacteria
Description: partial 16S ribosomal RNA
Rfam family: Bacterial small subunit ribosomal RNA
Source: RNAcentral
UACAGAGGGUGCAAGCGUUAAUCGGAAUUACUGGGCGUAAAGCGUGCGUAGACGGUUAUGUAAGUCAGGUGUGAAAGCCCCGGGCUUAACCUGGGAAUGGCAUUUGGGACUGCAAGGCUGGAGUUUGGCAGAGGAGACUGGAAUUCCUGGUGUAGCAGUGAAAUGCGUAGAUAUCAGGAGGAAUACCGAUGGCGAAGGCAGGUCUCUGGGCUAUAACUGACGCUCAUGCACGAAAGCGUGGGGAGCAAACAGG